UUGCCUAGAGAUGAGCUUGCGUCUGAUUAGCCUGUUGGUAGGGUAAAAGCUUACCAAAGCUAUAAUCAGUAGCUGGUCUGAGAGGAUAGACAGCCACACCGGAACUUAGAUACGGUCCGGACUCCUACGGGAGGCAGCAGUGAGGAAUUUUCCGCAAUGGGCGAAAGCCUGACGGAGCAAUACCGCGUGGAGGAUGAAAGCCUAUGGGUUGUAAACUCCUUUUCUUAGAGAAGAAGUUCUGACGGUAUCUAAAGAAUAAGCAUCGGCUAACUCCGUGCCAGCAGCCGCGGUAAUACGGGGGAUGCAAGCGUUAUCCGGAAUUAUUGGGUGUAAAGCGUCUGUAGGUUGCUUACUUAAGUCAGUUGUUAAAUUUCAGAACUCAAUUUUGAUACCAGCAACUGAAACUAAUAAGCUAGAGUCAAGUAGAGGUAGAAGGAACUCCGAGUGUAGCGGUGAAAUGCGUAGAUAUUCGGAAGAACACCGAUGGCGAAAGCAUUCUGCUGGACUUGUACUGACACUGAGAGACGAAAGCGAGGGGAGAGAAUGGGAUUAGAUACCCCAGUAUUCCUCGCCGUAAACGAUGGAUAUUAGGUAUUAGGUAAAACUAUUUAGUACUGAAGCUAACGCGUUAAAUAUCCCACCUGGGGAGUAUGCUCGCAAGAGUGAAACUUAAAGGAAUUGACGGGGGCCCGCACAAGCGGUGGAGCAUGUGGUUUAAUUCGACAACGCGAAGAACCUUACCAGGACUCGACUACAUCUAUCGCUCUUUGAAAGAAGAGAUUGUUAAGGAUGACAGGUGGUGCAUGGCUGUCGUCAGCUCGUGCCGUGAGGUGUUGGGUUAAGUCCCGCAACGAGCGCAACCCUUGUUUUUAGUUAUUUCUCUAAAAGUACUGCCGGUGACAAACCGGAGGAAGGUGGGGAUGACGUCAGGUCAUCAUGGCCCUUACGGCCAGGGCUACACACGUGCUACAAUGGUGCGUACAGAGGGCUGCAAACCCGCGAGGGGGAGCUAAUCUCACAAAACGCAUCGUAGUCCGGAUCGGAGUCUGCAACUCGACUCCGUGAAGUCGGAAUCGCUAGUAAUCGCGAAUCAGAAUGUCGCGGUGAAUACGUUCCCGGGCCUUGUACACACCGCCCGUCACACCACGGAAAUUGGCUACACCCAAAGCUAUUACCUUAACCAAAUCAAGGAGAGGGGUAUCU
This 1203-nucleotide ribosomal RNA is filed under the name Bigelowiella natans. Its description in RNAcentral is "partial Bacterial small subunit ribosomal RNA". It matches the Rfam family "Bacterial small subunit ribosomal RNA", at positions 215 to 1458 of the family's 1533-position model. The record is from RNAcentral. Lineage: Eukaryota; Cercozoa; Chlorarachniophyceae.